This 396-nucleotide unclassified non-coding RNA is filed under the name uncultured fungus. Its description in RNAcentral is "partial contains 5.8S ribosomal RNA and internal transcribed spacer 2". The stretch from base 1 to 133 matches the Rfam family "5.8S ribosomal RNA", at positions 22 to 154 of the family's 154-position model. The record is from RNAcentral. Lineage: Eukaryota; Fungi.
UGGCUCUCGCAUCGAUGAAGAACGCAGCGAAAUGCGAUAAGUAAUGUGAAUUGCAGAAUUCAGUGAAUCAUCGAAUCUUUGAACGCACCUUGCGCUCCUUGGUAUUCCUUGGAGCAUGCCUGUUUGAGUAUCAUGAAAUUCUCAGAGCAAGUCUUUUGUUAAUUCGAUUGACUUUGCUUCUGGACUUGGGGGUCUGCAGAUGUGAGUCUGCUCCUCUUAAAUGCAUUAGCUGGAUCUCAGUGAGCCUGGUUCCACUCGGCGUGAUAAGUAUCAUUCGCUGAGGACACCCCCUGAAAAGGGUGGCCAGGAGUGCAGAUGAACCGCUCCUAAUAGUCUAUUGACUUAGACAAGCAAAUAUCAAGAUCUGAUCUCAAAUCAGGUAGGACUACCCGCUGA